Anolis carolinensis (green anole) is the source of this 267-nucleotide long non-coding RNA. RefSeq lists it as uncharacterized. Lineage: Eukaryota; Metazoa; Chordata; Lepidosauria; Squamata; Anolidae. The transcript is spliced from 2 exons. The record is from RefSeq and is a predicted model, not a curated record.
CCAUGGAAACUACUCAUUAAAACAUUUCCCUUCAAUGAAAAUACCUGAAGGGCCACAAAAGGCAAACCUUCUCUGUUCCCAAGGCUGAAAGAAUUGAGGUCUGUGUGAGAACUUCCAGAUCACCUGCCUCCCUUGCAACCAACCACCCCAGUCCACCCCAUCAUUCAUGUCACCCUUCAAACUGCCCACCUGUUUGGAGAAGAUCCUGUAAUGAUUCUUGGUCUGAGAGAGUAAAGUUUCCGGCCGGUUGCAGCAAAAGGCAUACUA